Molecule: ribosomal RNA, 437 nt
Filed under: uncultured bacterium
Lineage: Bacteria
Description: bacterial SSU rRNA
Rfam family: Bacterial small subunit ribosomal RNA
Source: RNAcentral
GUAGCAAUACUUUGAUGAGAGUGGCGCACGGGUGCGUAACGCGUAUGCAACCUACCUUUAACUGGGAGAUAGCCCCGAGAAAUCGGGAUUAAUACCCCAUAACAUUACGAAUUGGCAUCAAUUUGUGAUUAAAGCUCCGGCGGUUAGAGAUGGGCAUGCGUGACAUUAGCUGGUUGGUGAGGUAACGGCUCACCAAGGCAACGAUGUCUAGGGGUCCUGAGAGGGUUAUCCCCCACACUGGUACUGAGACACGGACCAGACUCCUACGGGAGGCAGCAGUAAGGAAUAUUGGUCAAUGGGCGCAAGCCUGAACCAGCCAUGCCGCGUGCAGGAAGACGGCCCUAUGGGUUGUAAACUGCUUUUAUCAGGGAAUAAACCCCCGCUCGUGAGCGGGGCUGAAGGUACCUGAGGAAUAAGCAUCGGCUAACUCCGUGCCA